UACGGAGGAUUCGAGCGUUAUCCGGAUUUAUUGGGUUUAAAGGGAGCGUAGGCGGGUUGUUAAGUCAGUUGUGAAAGUUUGCGGCUCAACCGUAAAAUUGCAGUUGAUACUGGCAUCCUUGAGUACAGUAGAGGUAGGCGGAAUUCGUGGUGUAGCGGUGAAAUGCUUAGAUAUCACGAAGAACUCCGAUUGCGAAGGCGGCCUGCUGGACUGUAACUGACGCUGAUGCUCGAAAGUGUGGGUAUCAAACAGG
Molecule: ribosomal RNA, 253 nt
Filed under: uncultured bacterium
Lineage: Bacteria
Description: partial 16S ribosomal RNA
Rfam family: Bacterial small subunit ribosomal RNA
Source: RNAcentral